Molecule: transfer RNA, 64 nt
Filed under: Ciona savignyi (Pacific transparent sea squirt)
Lineage: Eukaryota; Metazoa; Chordata; Ascidiacea; Phlebobranchia; Cionidae
Description: tRNA (ENSCSAVG00000012502.1)
Source: RNAcentral
UGCUGGAUAGUUAAAAAAAAAUAAUAAAUUUGGGGUUUAUAGUUAGAUGUUAGUCUUCCGGUAA